GGUGCGGGCCAGUGCAGGCCAGGCCCGGCCGGGGCGAGGCAGGUGGCCAGGUCCGAGGACCGCGUCGCACAGCAGCUUUCAGGACCUGGAGAGAAAUCGAGAUGAAGAAGGGAAGUCACUUGCUUCAUGGCCAGGGAAGGGCUCCAGCAAGACAUGGGCUCCUGAAAGUGACAGUGUGUGAAGGCCCGGAGAGGCACAGGACCUGCCCAGCUGAAUGGAGCUUCAUGGUCCCCUCGCCCUCCUUGGAUUGCAGCAAGGAAAGAGGUGUGUCUUCCGCAGAAAAAUGUGCAUGUUCUUUUAGAUGUGUGGCCUCCGAGCAAGGUAUUUAGCCUGCCUCUAUGUGCUCACCUGGAAAAUGGGGUGAUGAAGAAGAUGAUGAUGAUAAUGGGAACUCCCUCUUGGAGCUGCUGUGCAGAUGAAUUUUCCUUCUAACAGUCAGGCCCCUCUGCUGCAAGUCUGCUGGAGUUUUCUGGAGGUCCACUCCAGACCUUGUUUGCCUGGGUAUCACCAGCCGAGGCUGCAGAACAGCAAAGAUUGCUGCCUGUUCCUUCCUUUGGAAGCUUUGUCCCAGGGAGGCACCCACCAGAUGCCAGCUGGAGCUCUUCUGUAUAAGGAAAAGUGGGCAAGUUUUGAGUUCAACGUGAGGCCUCAAGGAUGUGUGCAACCCAUGGUACUUGAAUUUACUUAUUGACUGUUUUUUGGAAAUCCUUAUUUCCCAAAACUCGUGGAAGGAGCUGACUUCUGGCAGGAAACGUGGAACUGGCAGCGUGUCGUGCAAGCAUCUGCAAUCCCAGUCCUGAGCUGGACUUCUCAGAGAGGCUGGGCAUUAUUUAUGGAGAUGUCGGAGUGACAGGGGGAACUUCUGGCCAGGAACUGCCGGUGGUGUCACAUCCUUAACCUGGCUGACAUCGGAACACCCUGGGGGGAGCAUUUCUCCAGGAAAGGAUGGUGGGUCAGGAGCCCGCAUGGUGUCUUUUCAAAGCAAUAAUAAAGAUAUCAGAAGGGCAA
This 1008-nucleotide long non-coding RNA is filed under the name Homo sapiens (human). RNAcentral's name for it is "long intergenic non-protein coding RNA 620". The record is from RNAcentral. Lineage: Eukaryota; Metazoa; Chordata; Mammalia; Primates; Hominidae.